ACUCAAGAGGAACUACUUGGUGCUACUUCUACAGCAAAUAUGGAAUUCCUGACACGAAGAAGGCCUAUUAAUAGCUCGCCCGAGAAUUAUAUGAAUGGUUCUCCCACUAAAAUACCAGGUUUCUUCAAAUAUGGACUAUAAUUGGAAACAGUAUGCCUUACAGAAAGAAGAGGUCCUGACAAUUAACUUGAUGUUGGAUUUCUAUGAAGAUUAUCCAGUCACUGGAAGUUAUUUUAUGGCAACAGAAGCAGCAGCUAAGCCCAAUUUGAGAACAAGGCGCCUAGACGAAUAUCACACCCAUCAAGAACAGCCCCUGCACAAGAGAACAAAAUGCAGAAAAUUAAGAUCCAUCAAAGCUACAGCUCGCUGUAAUUCCGCCAAACAGCACGAAAUUC
RNAcentral lists this unclassified non-coding RNA (395 nucleotides) under Hevea brasiliensis (rubber tree). The record is from RNAcentral. Lineage: Eukaryota; Viridiplantae; Streptophyta; Magnoliopsida; Malpighiales; Euphorbiaceae.